ACGGAUUUACGACGGAAUUUCUAUUAACGACGGCCCCCUUUUAUGACGGGUUCGCGACAGGAAAUCCCGUCGUUAAUCAACGAUUAUUGGCCUUUCGCGACGGGAUUUCCCGUCGUCAAUAGUACAAUUUCUUGUAGUGGGAGGGAGUAUUAUUUUUGUAAUUUGUGAGCUUCAUACUGAAACUUGGUUUCAACUUACAUGUACGAAAAUUCUACAAUAAAUGUCGUGCACCGCUAUUUACUACUAAUUAUAUAAAUGUCGUGUAUCGCUAUGCAAUACUGGGUACAUCAAUUUACUAAUUUAUUAAAGUUCUGCAGAUCUCUAUUAUAUAAAGGAACAGCUGAGGGCGUUUUGGUAACUCAACUUUUCGUGUCCCCAAGCAAAAAGACAAAUAUAGCCUUCACACUUCAGUUGCAACCCAAACCCUUCGGCCUUCCGCCUUCGCUCUCCCCUCCCGUUUCCUUCUCUCUCCUCCCUCCCUGCAACACAAACCCUUUGCUCUCCCUCCCGUUUUCUUCUCUCUCCUCCCUCCCGUUCGUUUUCUUCUCUCUCCUCCAUCAGAUUCUCUCCUUCAAUCUUAUUCAUCUACUGCAAAAUCAACAUGCUCGAAAAAAUCCAUACAAAAAAAAAAAUUGAGAUCUAAUUGGUGAAUGGCGGGUUCCAAUUAUCUGGGGUAGAAAGGGAAGAACGAGCUCAGAAUCACGCUACAUCCCUCUCUCUUAGCUCCAUUGAUUGAUGAUUAAGAUUUGGCGAAUAAAUCGAGUUACAGAAUCACGAUCUUUCUCUCUCAGUUGCUGCCACUGGAGUUAUGAUUAUUGGGGAUGAUUUAUCCAAUCUGGUUCUGAGGCUUCGUGGUGGAAUAUUUAUUGAACCUUCUCUGAUGGCCCUGGCUAUGAAAUUCAACCAAGAGAAGAUGAUAUGCCGCAAAUUGUGGUUUUGAUUACGUUGGAAAACAAAUCUCAAAUUUUGAAUGAUUAUCGUGAUGAUGUUUUAUCCAAAAAAAUUCCAGAAGACAGGGAGCAGUUUUUUUACCUAACUACGAGUAUUUUACCAGUUUCAGAAAAUCCUGAAAGCGAAUGGUGACAUUCAACUGUAAGUUUAGAACUGAAGGCAUCCCCAAGGAUUCUCGCACUCACAUAACAAGAUUCACAUCCGAUUUUCAGUAUCGCAUGUUGGCUCUUCGCCAAGAUGUGAGGUAAACCAUGAGGACUUCAAUGAAGGCAUCAUUCAAGUCCAAGCAAAGAAGAAAGCAAGCCUAAAUUACUAUGCUGGUCUCACUUUUCGUUUAUUAAUUUUUGUUUUUGGAGUUUAUAGUAAUUGUUCUGCAAAUAAAACAGUGACAUUGUAAGGAUAGGAUUUUAGUUGUUCUCCUAUUUUUCUUGUAAUGCUAUGUACAAAAUUUUUAGUCAACUAAUUAAUUAU
Molecule: long non-coding RNA, 1422 nt
Organism: Spinacia oleracea (spinach)
Lineage: Eukaryota; Viridiplantae; Streptophyta; Magnoliopsida; Caryophyllales; Amaranthaceae
Exons: 7
Source: RefSeq, a predicted model, not a curated record